GCAAAAAAACACCAAGUCCCAGAAUCCCUAGCGAAGGGGGGGGGGGGUGGGGCUCGGUCUGAAGUUACCACAACAGGAAGCGUCACUGUCGCUAAAAACAUUGGAGCAGGAAAAAAAGUGCAACAAAAACGCUGUCGAACACGAAGCUACAGGAAUGUUUUCCUAUUUUUAAGAAAAUGUGUUGAUUUGUGAGAUAAUAUAUAUUUUUAUUUUUAUAUAUAUAUAUAUAAUCCACAACUUGUCUUCAUUUGAUCGUCAUCCAUCUUGAAAACGGUCGAGUUUGCGUCACUAGCAGCCCUCGAUAGAUAGCUUUGUGUUGACCAAAAUGGAUGACAGCAAGAUGGUGGGAGGUAAAGUGAAGAAACCCGGUAAACGAGGCCGUAAACCCGCUAAAAUUGAUCUGAAAGCCAAGUUGGAGAGGAGUCGUCAGAGCGCCCGUGAGUGCCGAGCCAGGAAGAAACUCCGGUAUCAGUAUCUGGAGGAACUCGUGUCCAGCAAGGAGAGGGCCAUCUGCGCCCUGAGGGAAGAGUUGGAGAUGUACAAGCAGUGGUGUACAGCCAUGGACCAGGGGAAGAUCCCGUCUGAGAUAAAGGCUCUACUGACGGGAGACGAACAGAACUCCUCCACCAAGACCUCGAAGAACAGCAACCAGAGCUGAUGUGUUGGCGGCGCCACACCAGAACUAGUCCGACUGUCCGUUUUUUGUUUUGAGGUGACAGACCCGGGUGAUAUUCAUUAUGGGGGGAAAUUAUAUCAAACGUUGUGCAACAGAAAACAAGGGUGUUCGUGUGUAAUACCUACCAGCUCCCCACUUUUUUUAUUCGUCCUGUUUGCUUCCGUUUGUUGCCCUAGUGAAUAUGCCCCAGAGCGAGUCUGUCUGUCUGCUGGAAGGUUCCAGCGCUAGGCAGCAGGUACUCCGUCCAUCAUGCCAGAACGCUCCACUGUAUAAGGCCUCUGUGACGGAGAGUGAAGCGGUGUCUCACCGGUCUGUCUGUUUCAGCCCCCCCCCGUCCUCCGUCCUCUAGAGGAGACGUACAGCAACAGAACUGUCUGAGAUACAUAUCAUUACUAACGCUGGGGGGGGGGGACGACCUUCAGAGUAAUAGUUCAUAUUAUUUACAGUCGUAAUCCACCUGACUGGCCUGAUUUUUAUCAUGAGUGGUUCACUAUCGCAACACUCGGAUUCGUUAAUGUUAAUCAUGUCAAAUAUGUUAUUUAGUUACAGCUAUAGACCGCCUGUAUUUAGUUACAGCUAUAGACCGCCUGUAUUUAGUUACAGCUAUAGACAGCCUGUAUUUAGUUACAGCUAUAGACAGCCUGUAUUUAGUUACAGCUAUAGACAGCCUGUAUUUAGUUACAGCUAUAGACAGCCUGUAUUUAGUUACAGCUAUAGACAGCCUGUAUUUAGUUACAGCUAUAGACAGCCUGUAUUUAGUUACAGCUAUAGACAGCCUGUAUUUAGUUACAGCUAUAGACAGCCUGUAUUUAGUUACAGCUAUAGACAGCCUGUAUUUAGUUACAGCUAUAGACAGCCUGUAUUAUUGCACAGUUUUAUUUACAUUUCCUUGUCUCAAAUGUUUUAGCUUCUACGUGUGAGAAUCGAGGAAGCGUUUAAUGGUAUAUGGAUGUGAACCCAAGACGGAAGAAGUGAAAGGGUUUUAAGGCUGUGCAUUCAUCCAAAACAAAAGCAAUUACUCUUAUUUGACUUGUAUUGGUUAUGACUCCGUUUUGUAUCUGGAGCAGAACUAUGCCAACAUCCCAAAUGGCACUCCGUUCCCUAAAGUAGUGCACUAUGUAGGGAAUAGGGUCCCAUAGGGCCCUGGUCUAAAGUAGUGCACUAUGUAGGGAAUAGGGUCCCAUAGGGCCCUGGUCUAAAGUAGUGCACUAGAUAGGGCACCAUUGGGGAAAUGGAUCUGGUCUAAAGUAGUGCACUAGAUAGGGCACCAUUGGGGGACAUAGAUGUGGUCUAAAGUAGUGCACUAGAUAGGGCACCAUUGGGGGACAUAGAUGUGGUCUAAAGUAGUGCACUAGAUAGGGCACCAUUGGGGGACAUAGAUGUGGUCUAAAGUAGUGCACUAGAUAGGGCACCAUUGGGGGACAUAAAUGUGGUCUAAAGUAGUGCACUAGAUAGGGCACCAUUGGGGGACAUAGAUGUGGUCUAAAGUAGUGCACUAGAUAGGGCACCAUUGGGGACAUAGAUGUGGAAAUCUAUCCUGAAUCUACAGAGGUGAUGCUGUAACGACACACAGCACUAUAUGUUGAAUAUGUUGGAUUUAUUGUUUAUAUAUAUAUAUAUUUAUUAUUGGAUCACAGAAAGACCUCCCCCCCCCCCCCCUGGUUUUGUAGUGUGAUGUUAUAGAAGGUAUAAAAGGUCUGACGGGCAGAGAGAAAUGCUAUUUGUCAUUUUGUAAAGAUGUUCAAGUGUCUUGUUUGUGUGAAAGGCUAGAAUGGGGACACGUCCUUCCCAGAACAGAGCCGCCGCUGAAGCGUUGCUCAUCCUAGGUUGUAUCAUGUGGUGUCUAGUCGAGGUCUAGACUAGUUCACGUUCUCUCGCCGUAAUGCAGCCAAAAUACCUGGUCCUGCUUUGGUUUACAAAUGAUGAUUCUAUUGUCCUGAGGUAAUUUAAAUAAAUAAAGACUAAUUAAUAGACAUGAAUUCUGUCUGACACUCAUUAAUAUUCAUUAAUUCUGACACUCAUUAAUAUUCAUUCAUUCAUUCUGACACUCAUUAAUAUUCAUUCAUUCUGACACUCAUCAAUAUUCAUUCAUUCUGACACACAUCAAUAUUCA
Molecule: long non-coding RNA, 2789 nt
Filed under: Salmo salar (Atlantic salmon)
Lineage: Eukaryota; Metazoa; Chordata; Actinopteri; Salmoniformes; Salmonidae
Description: lncRNA (ENSSSAG00000110847.1)
Source: RNAcentral